CUCUUGGGUACUUUUGUUUACACACUGAAACCCGGGGUACAAUGAAACUAGCCAAUACCACUUUCGCGACGGAAUAUACUUGUCCUUACUUAUGUCAUGGAAGCCAUAACUGCAUGGGAUUCAAUUUUAAUGUUCAUUCAAGGGUCUGUGAAUUGAUCUCGACUGGAGAGAAAAUGCUUACAACCACGGGCUCAGGUUGGACAUUUGGUACAAAAUGUUUUCAGUGGAAAUGUUUUGCUUGUAUGUAGUACCAAACUUAUGACGUAUUUCGUUAUUCAUAAUUUACUAUAAUUGUAAUUUAAAAAUAACUUUUAUGAUGUAAAAUUGUAAUACAUUCUUUUUCUUGGAUAAUACAUUUAUCAAGUAAAAAACAAAUUUUUCUUCA
RNAcentral lists this long non-coding RNA (385 nucleotides) under Mytilus galloprovincialis (Mediterranean mussel). Lineage: Eukaryota; Metazoa; Mollusca; Bivalvia; Mytilida; Mytilidae. The record is from RNAcentral.